RNAcentral lists this ribosomal RNA (497 nucleotides) under uncultured bacterium. Its description in RNAcentral is "partial 16S ribosomal RNA". It matches the Rfam family "Bacterial small subunit ribosomal RNA", at positions 28 to 507 of the family's 1533-position model. The record is from RNAcentral.
GAUGAACGCUGGCGGCGUGCCUAAUACAUGCAAGUCGAGCGGACAGAUAAGGAGCUUGCUCCUUUGACGUUAGCGGCGGACGGGUGAGUAACACGUGGGUAACCUACCUAUAAGACUGGAAUAACUCCGGGAAACCGGGGCUAAUGCCGGAUAACAUUUAGAACCGCAUGGUUCUAAAGUGAAAGAUGGUUUUGCUAUCACUUAUAGAUGGACCCGCGCCGUAUUAGCUAGUUGGUAAGGUAACGGCUUACCAAGGCAACGAUACGUAGCCGACCUGAGAGGGUGAUCGGCCACACUGGAACUGAGACACGGUCCAGACUCCUACGGGAGGCAGCAGUAGGGAAUCUUCCGCAAUGGGCGAAAGCCUGACGGAGCAACGCCGCGUGAGUGAUGAAGGUCUUCGGAUCGGAAAACUCUGUUAUUAGGGAAGAACAAAUGUGUAAGUAACUGUGCACGUCUUGACGGUACCUAAUCAGAAAGCCACGGCUAACUACGUG